UACGUAGGGGGCAAGCGUUAUCCGGAUUUACUGGGUGUAAAGGGGGCGUAGACGGUUAUGCAAGUCAGAAGUGAACGCCCAAAGCUCAACUUCGGGACUGCUUUUGAAACUGUGUAACUAGAGUGCAGGAGGGGUAAGCGGAAUUCCUAGUGUAGCGGUGAAAUGCGUAGAUAUUAGGAGGAACACCGGCGGCGAAGGCGGCUUACUGGACUGUAACUGACGUUGAGGCUCGAAAGCGUGGGGAGCAAACAGG
This 253-nucleotide ribosomal RNA is filed under the name uncultured bacterium. RNAcentral describes it as "partial 16S ribosomal RNA". It matches the Rfam family "Bacterial small subunit ribosomal RNA", at positions 524 to 776 of the family's 1533-position model. The record is from RNAcentral.